UACGUAGGGUGCGAGCGUUAAUCGGAAUUACUGGGCGUAAAGCGUGCGCAGGCGGUUUUGUAAGCCAGAUGUGAAAGCCCCGGGCUUAACCUGGGAAUGGCAUUUGGGACUGCAAGGCUUGAGUGCGGCAGAGGAGACUGGAAUUCCCGGUGUAGCGGUGAAAUGUGUAGAGAUCGGGAGGAACACCGGUGGCGAAGGCGGGUCUCUGGGCAAUUCCUGACGCUGAGGCGCGAAAGCGUGGGGAGCAAACGGG
Molecule: ribosomal RNA, 253 nt
Filed under: uncultured bacterium
Lineage: Bacteria
Description: partial 16S ribosomal RNA
Rfam family: Bacterial small subunit ribosomal RNA
Source: RNAcentral